CAGCGCCACAAGUGGGGGCCAUGUUUAUUGGGCCUAAAGCGUUCGUGGCUGGUUCUGUAAAUCUUUUGUGAAAUCGUUGGGCUUAACCUAACGGCGUGCAGAAGAAACUGCACAACUUGGGACCGGGAGGGGUUAGAAGUAUUUCUGGGGGAGCGGUAAAAUGCAGUAAUCCCAGGAGGACUACCUGUGGCGAAGGCGUCUAACCAGAACGGGUCCGACAGUGAGGAACGAAAGCCAGGGGAGCAAACCGGAUUAGAUACCCGAGUAGUCC
Molecule: ribosomal RNA, 271 nt
Filed under: uncultured archaeon
Lineage: Archaea
Description: partial 16S ribosomal RNA
Rfam family: Archaeal small subunit ribosomal RNA
Source: RNAcentral